Molecule: long non-coding RNA, 958 nt
Filed under: Mus musculus (house mouse)
Lineage: Eukaryota; Metazoa; Chordata; Mammalia; Rodentia; Muridae
Description: predicted gene, 36199
Source: RNAcentral
GGGUGACUCCCGGGCGCCAUCCAAUGGGACCAGUUCCAUCUGGGCAGGCCAUCCAGAAGCUGUCAUCUCUCAGGGAUAAUGAAGGCCAGCCGCAGCACCUUACAAGGCCAUCCAGGCAGCCAGCCGCUGGAAUCCCAGGGAUUACACAGCCUCUGGAGGGCUUGGAACAGGCUCGGGUCACCUGCUGCAGACACAAGUGUGUGCCUGGGCUGCUUCUGUCUUGUGACUGAGGAAUUUUGAAAUGGCAGUGCUGAGCUCACAAAGAAGAAAAUGUCUCCUUGAUGUCACACAGUUCGCUGCCAAACCAUCCAAGCUACCUGGAAAUUAUCAAUGACUGCACGUGCCCAGCUCUUCUGGACCCUCUGAUGUUCUGUCACAUGGGAGCAAAUGGAGAGCUGGGACAUCCUUUGACCUCAGCCCUCAAAGGUUAGGAAGCGGGCCCCUCCUCCCUCCAAGAAUUCCUUUUCUCCAAGGGUGAUUAACUACCUCAGCCAUCCUUCCAGGAGGGCCAAAAAAGCUGUUUUGAAUCUGUACCGGCUCAGAAUAAUCAGUUCCUGGUAUUUCCGGCUUUGUGUGAAGCAGGAUUUCCUGUUUCAAGGCGGGCUGGCUCCCCUGUCCUGAUAUUAGGGAGUCUAUGUAAUAGAUUACUAAUCCAUACUGUUUUUGUUUUUCUAUUCAGGAUAAUUAACUUCUUGCUCAAUCCCUCAGCAUUUGACCAAAAUACCAAGAUAAAAAUGUAGGCCCGUGUUAGUACAAAAGGUCCUGCAUUCAACUGUCCUCCUUAUAUUGCCCAAGAAGUCUUGUGGAAUUCCAAGAAGAAUUCAAGGGGCCAGACCUGGAAUAUGCAUCAAUGAGAAUAAGACACUGACGAAGCUAACGACACUAACGGGGAAUGAGGAUAAUCGACUCCUGUCCUUUGUUUUACUCUUUAACCUAGUAAUAAAUCCCUUUAAAGGCC